RNAcentral lists this ribosomal RNA (438 nucleotides) under uncultured bacterium. Its description in RNAcentral is "partial 16S ribosomal RNA". It matches the Rfam family "Bacterial small subunit ribosomal RNA", at positions 29 to 507 of the family's 1533-position model. The record is from RNAcentral.
AACGAACGCUGGCGGCAUGCCUAACACAUGCAAGUCGAACGAUAAAUUAGGGUCUAGUGGCGCGCGGGUUCGUAACGCGUGGGAACACGCCCUUAGGAUCGGACUUACUCCCCGAAAUGAGUGCUAGUAACGGAUAAUGUUAUUGGACAAAAGAUUCAGCGCCAUAGGAUGGGCCCGCGGUGGAUUUGCUAGUUGGUGGGGUACUGGCCCACCAAGGCGACGAUGGGUAGCCGGUCUGAGAGGGUGAUCGGCCACACUGGGGCGGAGACACGGCCCAGACUCCUACGGGAGGCAGCAGUGGGGAAUAUUGCACAAUGGGCGCAAGACUGAUGCAGCAACGCCGCGUGAGGGAUGACGGACUUCGGGUUGUAAACCUCUUUUAGUAGGGAAGAAGCGAAAGUGACGGUACCUGCAGAAAAAGCACCGGCUAACUACGUG